Molecule: long non-coding RNA, 308 nt
Filed under: Homo sapiens (human)
Lineage: Eukaryota; Metazoa; Chordata; Mammalia; Primates; Hominidae
Description: HSALNT0389095
Source: RNAcentral
ACAAAUAGGGUUUACGACCUCGAUGUUGGAUCAGGACAUCCCAAUGGUGCAGCCGCUAUUAAAGGUUCGUUUGUUCAACGAUUAAAGUCCUUCGGUAUGGAAUAAUUUUAUUCAUCAUCUCAGAAGUCUUUUUCUUCGCUGGAUUCUUCUGAGCAUUCUACCACUCCAGCCUAGCCCCCACCCCUCAACUAGGAGGACACUGACCCCCAACAGGCAUCACUCCACUCAACCCCCUAGAAGUCCCACUCCUAAACACAUCUGUACUACUCGCAUCGGGAGUUUCAAUUACUUGAGCUCACCAUAGCCUA